This 28-nucleotide non-coding RNA is filed under the name Drosophila melanogaster (fruit fly). The record is from RNAcentral. RNAcentral also lists the same sequence under 5 other names. Lineage: Eukaryota; Metazoa; Arthropoda; Insecta; Diptera; Drosophilidae.
GCGUCCAUUGUCUAAUGGAUAGGACAGA